This 74-nucleotide transfer RNA is filed under the name Hofstenia miamia. RNAcentral's name for it is "tRNA-Asn for anticodon GUU". It matches the Rfam family "tRNA". From Rfam's summary of the family: Transfer RNA (tRNA) molecules are approximately 80 nucleotides in length. Their secondary structure includes four short double-helical elements and three loops (D, anti-codon, and T loops). Lineage: Eukaryota; Metazoa; Xenacoelomorpha; Acoela; Hofsteniidae. The record is from RNAcentral.
GUCUCUGUGGCGCAAUCGGUUAGCGCGUUCGGCUGUUAACUGAAAGGUUCGUGGUUCGAGUCUACGCAGGGACG